AGCUUUGAACAGUGGUAGUAUCUUGGCCAAUGAGGUUUAUCCGAGGUACGAUUAUUGCUAAUUGCACUAUCCCUCCGGCUUCUGACAAUGAAUUUUCAACAUGAACAAGGUUGUU
This 115-nucleotide small nuclear RNA is filed under the name Sorex araneus (European shrew). Its description in RNAcentral is "U4 spliceosomal RNA (ENSSARG00000019855.1)". It matches the Rfam family "U4 spliceosomal RNA". Rfam says of the family: U4 small nuclear RNA (U4 snRNA) is a component of the major U2-dependent spliceosome. Lineage: Eukaryota; Metazoa; Chordata; Mammalia; Eulipotyphla; Soricidae. The record is from RNAcentral.